This is a long non-coding RNA of Papaver somniferum (opium poppy), 1118 nucleotides long. RefSeq lists it as uncharacterized. The transcript is spliced from 2 exons. The record is from RefSeq and is a predicted model, not a curated record. Lineage: Eukaryota; Viridiplantae; Streptophyta; Magnoliopsida; Ranunculales; Papaveraceae.
UCUCUUGCGAUUAUAAAUCUUUGCAUUUUUGAAUUGAAGUUUGGUUGAUAUAUGUUAUUUUGUUUUGUUCAUGGAUAUGUGGAUACAAAUGGAGUUGCUAAUCUUCAAAAAGGAAUUAAGAGAUUAAUGAGCAGUGAUGAAUGACUAAACGUUUCCCGAUCGGUACUGAUUAUUGAAUUACCAUAUUCAGUGACCAAAAAUCUUUUAAUGACCUUAUAUUGUGUAUCUGAGCCUUUUUUAUUUGGUAUAUUUUUCCCUGCUAAUUGAUUAAGAUUUGAUCAUAAAAAAAUUUGACUUGGUGAUAUGAUUCUAAAAAUUCCUAGUACUAAAUUGUCAAUGGCAUGACAGACUCUUUUUACCUAAAGAAAAUUCCUUGGUGAAUUAAGUCAUGAAGAUGCUAUAAUACCCAAUGAAACAGCAAACCAACAGUUGGGCUUCAGGUAGAUUGAGUUUAUCAUGCAAGGUACCAUUCUUGCAAGAAAAUUUAACAGUCAUGAAACCAAUCUCAUAAAAUCUAACUUAACAAAAUCUGAUAUAUAAAGCGAUUAAUGAUAACAUUCAUAGAGAAAUAGUGUUAUUAUGCAGCAGUAGACACCAUUUCGGUUACUCUGACCUGGAAUUUGAAAGUGAAUGUAUUUAAAAUUCAUAUUGAUCUUUGCUUUGAUUUUUGCUCGCAGGCAGUGGUGCAGAUGUUUGAGAAUGCAUUGGAUCUGUUCGAAGAUAAUCCUUCAUUGUAUGGAUCAACUUUGGCUGUUGACACAACCGGUGGUGGUUGCGGCAGUGGACUGGUAGCAUUGGUGGCGGCGACGGACUGGUGGUGGACUGGCGACGGUGAUGGUGACGUGGUGGUGGUUGUUAGUAGGUGAUGGUCGUUGAGCGGUGGUGGUGGUGGAGACGUGGUGGUGGUUGUUAGUAAGUGAUGGUGGUUGAGCGGUGGUGGUGGCGGAGGUGAAAUGGUAGAAAUUUUCUUUUGUUAUAUUUUGAAAAAAAAAAAAAAAAUCAGAUAGUGAGGUUUCUAAAUGAUAGGGUAUAUUUAUUGUUGUGCAAGGUUUUUAAUCUACCACAGAUGAAUCACAGACUGUGUCGCACAUAAUACAAACCCACUUCAUUUCAAAACU